This 164-nucleotide transfer-messenger RNA is filed under the name Hyphomicrobium sp. Its description in RNAcentral is "Alphaproteobacteria transfer-messenger RNA". It matches the Rfam family "Alphaproteobacteria transfer-messenger RNA", at positions 197 to 355 of the family's 355-position model. Rfam says of the family: Bacterial tmRNA, also known as 10Sa RNA or SsrA, is named for its dual tRNA and mRNA-like properties. Its role is to liberate the mRNA from a stalled ribosome. To accomplish this part of the tmRNA is used as a reading frame that ends in a translation stop signal. Lineage: Bacteria; Pseudomonadati; Pseudomonadota; Alphaproteobacteria; Hyphomicrobiales; Hyphomicrobiaceae. The record is from Rfam by way of RNAcentral.
CAUGGUUCCGCCGUUAUCGGGCCGUUCAGAAUAGUUGCCAAUGACAACUAUGCUGAGGCUGCUCUCGCUGCGUAAUGCGGCGCGAUUAGCCUGAACUUGAAGUCCUUAUCCUUAGCCGGAUAAGGCGCGGUUCGGAGGGCACCGGGCAACAGAAGCCCUCCACU